CCUACGGGAGGCAGCAGUGGGGAAUAUUGCACAAUGGGGGAAACCCUGAUGCAGCGACGCCGCGUGAGUGAAGAAGUAUUUCGGUAUGUAAAGCUCUAUCAGCAGGAAAGAAAAUGACGGUACCUGACUAAGAAGCCCCGGCUAACUACGUGCCAGCAGCCGCGGUAAUACGUAGGGGGCAAGCGUUAUCCGGAUUUACUGGGUGUAAAGGGAGCGUAGACGGUGAAGCAAGUCUGAAGUGAAAGGCGGGGGCUCAACCCCCGGACUGCUUUGGAAACUGUUUGACUGGAGUGCAGGAGAGGUAAGUGGAAUUCCUAGUGUAGCGGUGAAAUGCGUAGAUAUUAGGAGGAACACCAGUGGCGAAGGCGGCUUACUGGACUGUAACUGACGUUGAGGCUCGAAAGCGUGGGGAGCAAACAGGAUUAGAUACCC
RNAcentral lists this ribosomal RNA (432 nucleotides) under uncultured bacterium. Its description in RNAcentral is "bacterial SSU rRNA". It matches the Rfam family "Bacterial small subunit ribosomal RNA", at positions 338 to 787 of the family's 1533-position model. The record is from RNAcentral.